Molecule: transfer RNA, 73 nt
Organism: Rivularia sp. PCC 7116
Lineage: Bacteria; Bacillati; Cyanobacteriota; Cyanophyceae; Nostocales; Rivulariaceae
Rfam family: tRNA
About the family: Transfer RNA (tRNA) molecules are approximately 80 nucleotides in length. Their secondary structure includes four short double-helical elements and three loops (D, anti-codon, and T loops). Further hydrogen bonds mediate the characteristic L-shaped molecular structure. tRNAs have two regions of fundamental functional importance: the anti-codon, which is responsible for specific mRNA codon recognition, and the 3' end, to which the tRNAs corresponding amino acid is attached (by aminoacyl-tRNA synthetases). tRNAs cope with the degeneracy of the genetic code in two manners: having more than one tRNA (with a specific anti-codon) for a particular amino acid; and 'wobble' base-pairing, i.e. permitting non-standard base-pairing at the 3rd anti-codon position.
Source: Rfam
GGGCGCGUAGUUCAGUGGAUAGAACAUCAGAUUCCGGUUCUGACGGUCGGGGGUUCAAAUCCCUCCGCGCUCA